GCUCCUCACAGGCCAUCCAGAAGAGCAUGUUCUCCUCGCUGAAUUCCGUCCGGAGGAACUCUCGGAAGGCAUUCCUGCCAGCUGGGCUUUCAGCACUUCUAGGCUUGGAGUCUCCACAGCAAGCUGUUCCAGUGCCUCACCACCCUCAUGGGGAAGAAACAAUGAUUCAAACCCCAUCAAAGGUACUUUCUCUCUAUUACAGUUUUACAGGUACUUCUGACUAGUGGAGCAAUUCUGGAGGCAGUUGCCUGACCCUUGGGGGAGGGUCUAAGCUCCUCUUUAUUAUUUUUGUAAGGCUGAGCACUGCCUGCUCACUUCAGAUGUCUGCUGGGUAGGAACAGGAACUAUGGUAAGAUUAUCUCAAUAAAAAUAAGAGAGGAGACUGCUUA
Molecule: long non-coding RNA, 389 nt
Organism: Pogoniulus pusillus (Red-fronted tinkerbird)
Lineage: Eukaryota; Metazoa; Chordata; Aves; Piciformes; Lybiidae
Exons: 2
Source: RefSeq, a predicted model, not a curated record